This 470-nucleotide ribosomal RNA is filed under the name uncultured bacterium. RNAcentral describes it as "bacterial SSU rRNA". It matches the Rfam family "Bacterial small subunit ribosomal RNA", at positions 10 to 523 of the family's 1533-position model. The record is from RNAcentral.
AGUUUGAUCCUGGCUCAGAACGAACGCUGGCGGCAGGCUUAACACAUGCAAGUCGAACGCAUCGCAAGAUGAGUGGCAGACGGGUGAGUAACGCGUGGGAACAUACCCUUUUCUACGGAAUAGCUCUGGGAAACUGGAAUUAAUACCGUAUACGCCCUACGGGGGAAAGAUUUAUCGGGGAAGGAUUGGCCCGCGUUGGAUUAGCUAGUUGGUGGGGUAAAGGCCUACCAAGGCGACGAUCCAUAGCUGGUCUGAGAGGAUGAUCAGCCACAUUGGGACUGAGACACGGCCCAAACUCCUACGGGAGGCAGCAGUGGGGAAUAUUGCACAAUGGGCGAAAGCCUGAUGCAGCAACGCCGCGUGAGGGAUGACGGCCUUCGGGUUGUAAACCUCUUUUAGUAGGGAAGAAGCGAAAGUGACGGUACCUGCAGAAAAAGCGCCGGCUAACUACGUGCCAGCAGCCGCGGUAA